UAGCAUUUUAUGAAACCACAACCAGGAUUACAUAAAACCAGAAAUUAAGAUUGGUCCAAUGACAUAACCCUACAAAGAGUACAGAUAGCAGAAUAAUGGAUCCUCAAAGAUGUCUGAAUCCUAAUCCUUGAAACCUAUGGGCCUUAUCUAAUUACACAAGAUCUGAAAACUCAAGAUGGUUUCUACCUGCCAUUGCUGGCUUUGAAGAGGAUGAAGAUGGCUACAAACCAAGAAAUGAGGAGGCUUCUAAAAGCUAGGAUUGACCCAUCGAUCAUAGGUCACAGUAAAAGGGAAAACACUUAUGGAUAUGGAGAUGCCACAAAAUUAGAGUAUUUGGGAUCGAAACCAUCACCUCACCUGCCUGGACUCACAAUGAGCAAUACUCUGGGAUCUUUUGAUAUUUGUGGAUUACAUGUUACUGAAAGCCAAUUUACCUGAUUCUGAAAAAUACCAAUGCUUAUUUCGAGGUAAGACAUUUACCAAUUUUACAGAUAGAAGGUCUGUGUGAGUGUGUGUGUGUGUGUGUGUGUGUGUGUGCAUGUGUUCAAGUAUAAACAAAUUGGUUUAAGAACCAUGGAUGAGAAAAUUGAUACCAUCGUGUAAAUAGGAAGAGGUAAUAUAAACAGAGAUCACAGAUGAAAUUUUUCACUGAAGAUUUCUACACAAAGCCAAAGCUACUGAUGUCAGAAUUUCUCUCUUAUGGGACAUAUCUUUCCAUGAGCUUCAGGUUUCUGUAAAUAUAGCUUAUUGAAAUUACCAGUGGUCUUUACAUGCCCUAUGUUUCAAAAUCCUAACUCAUCACUUCUCUCCCAAAAGAUUCUAUAUUUUUAAAUCUUACUUGGUGGUCCGUACCUUUCUCAGUCACUUAGUCUACAAACCCAGAAGUAUGGAAAUUGAUUUCUUUUUCUCCUCUUACCUUUUCAUCCAGACACAAAUCUUACAGAUUUCAAUUCCUUAACAUAUUUCACUUGUUCCUCUCUAAUUUUACUGCUCCUGUGGUACUUCAUUAUCUCUUGCCUGGUCUAGCCAAUUAACUGGCCUUCUUUCAUCCAUUUAUUUUAACCUUUAACCAAGCCUCCACAAAAAUCCCCAGGGAGAUAUUUCUAACUUGCAAAUCCGCUCUUGUUAUUUCCACAUAUGAACUCUUCAGGAUAAUUUUUAGUGGAAUCUUAGUCCUGUGAGAUAUUCCUUGUAAAAAACUACCUUGAACAAAUGAGUUUAGGGAUAAUGUUUGGUAAUUUACAAAGCACACAGAUAUAUUAAAAACUCAAAGAAUGCCUGCUUAAUCUUGUUUGAUUUGUAUUUCUCAAAUUGACUUAACAAUGAACUCUUUGUAUUCCUUUAUAAGAUCUAUUAACACCUGCAGAUCUGCUUUUCCAGAUUGGCCCCAGGAUAAUGUCAAGCCUCUUAACAUGUGGUUCUAGCCCCUGUUUGCUUCUCUAGAAUCGUCACGGUCUUUAAUUUUAUGCUCUGGGAAUUAUAAAAUGCCUCUAAGCCUCUGCACCUAGUAAGUUAUUUUUCAUCUUCCUGCAUUUGUUUUUUAAAUUAUAUUUGGAAUGUUGUCCUCACCAAAAUAAGAUCUAGGGCUUUGCUGAUCAAUCUUUACACUUCAGAUCAGAUGCAAAUGACCCCUGGAAGCCUUCCUGAUACUUACCUAUUCCUAAUAUUGUGAUUUCUAUAAUAAAUUCUAAUUACCUAUUCACUUAUCUUUUUUUCUUAAGAAUAUCAACCUUUGAUAGCAAGGACCAUCUCUUCAUUCCUUGUGUUUUAGUGCCUUGGAGAUAUUUUGUGCACAAUAACUAUUUAUAUAAUUAAUGAAUGAACAAAUAAAUAUACAAAAGAAAA
Long non-coding RNA from Homo sapiens (human), 1845 nucleotides. RefSeq lists it as uncharacterized. The record is from RefSeq and is a predicted model, not a curated record. The transcript is spliced from 4 exons. NCBI's taxonomy places the organism in Eukaryota, Metazoa, Chordata, Mammalia, Primates, Hominidae.